This is a small nucleolar RNA of Hyla sarda, 134 nucleotides long. Lineage: Eukaryota; Metazoa; Chordata; Amphibia; Anura; Hylidae. The record is from RefSeq and is a predicted model, not a curated record.
CUGCAAACUAGAUCACUAGCUCUGCAUGAUGUUGCAGUUGCAAGGGGAACACGUUUGCUAAAUGAAUUUGGAGAAGGUAAAUUCAAGCCUGGAAGUCUUGUCUUCUGGGUAAUUUAAUGCCUUCUCCAACAAUC